AUGUCUAAAUGUUUUCUCACAGUUUACAACUUGAAAUGUUACAUGGAAUUGAAUGCUCAAAAUACAUUUUCUGGGAACUAGAAUAGAACAUGACACAUGUUCACCUUGCUAUUACAUAAACCCACGCCUUCACCAGCUUCAACAUUGGCAUGAUUGUAUUGUGAAACAAUGUCUGAAGGCAAAUUAAUCAAUAAAACUAAGAUCCUAAAAAUAAUCAUCCCCCAUACAGAGGGUGAAAGAUAGUUUGGUAAUCUCAAUUAGUUAAUGUUUAAAUUAUUGUGACACUUCAUUACAAUUCUGAUCCUCAUGAGAAGGGAAAUUUUUUGGCAAGGUGAACAAUGGUGUUUCUCCAGAUAAUCCCUUUAUUGACAUGGCCAAAGAAUAGCCCAAUGCUCGGGCAACUGGAACUGCAACUGCAUUACCUACUUGCAUGUACCUUUCUUUUAUUGGACCUAUCAACUUGUAGUAGUCAGGAAAACCUUGGAGCCUUGCAUUUUCACGAAUUGUGAGCACUCUAUCUUGUAGUGGAUGUACUAUGGUCUGAUUAUGGGGUUCAGCUCUCGUCACAACUGUUGGGACAGUUUCAUCCCACCACAAACGACCAA
This 605-nucleotide unclassified non-coding RNA is filed under the name Hevea brasiliensis (rubber tree). Lineage: Eukaryota; Viridiplantae; Streptophyta; Magnoliopsida; Malpighiales; Euphorbiaceae. The record is from RNAcentral.